RNAcentral lists this long non-coding RNA (1280 nucleotides) under Arachis ipaensis. RNAcentral's name for it is "long non-coding RNA (AIPA_LNC001412)". The record is from RNAcentral. Lineage: Eukaryota; Viridiplantae; Streptophyta; Magnoliopsida; Fabales; Fabaceae.
GAGAAAGUAUUAUCUGAUUUGAUUUGAUUCGAUAUUUUAUAUAUUCGAAAGAUCAAAGAUUUGUUGUAUUUGAAAUUAUAUGUUUUGAAUUGAUUUGGGAGGCUCGUAUUAGAAAACAGUAGUUAACAGCGGUUAUGACGUUAAUCUAGAUGCAUCUGGCUCAGACCUCAGCUAGUAGGAGCGUUGUUAGCCUAACGUGUAGGCCACACGUUGGAUCUGUUAUUCCGUACGGACACACUAGAGAAAAGGGCUACCCAUAGAGGUGGAGCCGCCCAAGUGUGGACUUUUGAUUUGAUUUCUCUAUGAGAACUCCCUUAUUGAUUCACUUAUUAUCAACUAUUAUUUUCUAAUUAAAAUUAUUUUGAUGAUAAUGUUUGUAUAGUCUCAUGUCGAUUAUAGAUGUAUUGUCUAGUCACUGAAUUGUAAUACUCACUCCUUUUUUGUUUAAAAAAAAUAUUUUUUCAGGAAUAAGUACUUGAUUAUGUGAGCCUUUCUAUUCAAGAGUAAUGAUCUGCAAUGGGCUCUAUUCCUUGUUGAGUUCUUAGACGUCAUCUGCUCCAUAUGUCACAGGCAGGAUCCAUCUAUAUUUAUUUAUUUUAUUUUUGUUAAAGUAUGUAAUUAUUCAUUCUAAAAAGUGUAAAUUUAUCAAAAAUUAUUUGUAACCUUUUUAUUUAUCUUAUAUUUGAAUCUGUUAGGCUUGCUAGGGAACUCUUUUUCCUGAGCGCCAGUCAUGGCUCAUUUUGGGUUGUGACAGAGUGGUAUCAGAGCUUAGGUUUAAUCUGUGUAAUAUGGAGCAAGUGUCUUAUGGUAGGAUCACAAUUGUAUAAAUAGAAGCGCGCCUAUUUGUACAAAUUGUGGCACUAUUAGAGGCCUAUAGGAAUGUCAUCCUUCUCUUUUUGUCAUUCUUGUCUUUUGGUUCUUGUCAUCAUGAGUCAUCUGUCGAUUCUUGCCACCUCUUUUCUCUUUGUAUCCAUCCUUGAGUUAUUAUUUGGUAACUUUUCUUGAACUUACUUUUGCAAUUGUUUCAAAUUGAAGUGUUUGAAUGUAUUGUAUUAUCAAAUGUACAGGGAAUCAGCCUCUUUAUAGAGGAAUUACAGAAAUAGAAAUAACUAGAAAAUAGAAAAGAAAGGAAAAAUACUAGCCUAAAAUAAAGGAAAGAUUUCUAAUCAUAAAAUCCCUAAAAUUAAGCUAAACCCAAAAAGGAAAAGAUUUAUAAUUAAUUCUAUUUACAUAAAAGAUUCAGGAAAGGAAUUAGGAAUCUGAUUUUGAUUUGAUUUAGU